GAUCCUGGCUCAGAGCGAACGCUGGCGGCAGGCCUAACACAUGCAAGUCGAACGGACCCUUCGGGGUUAGUGGCGGACGGGUGAGUAACACGUGGGAACGUGCCUUUAGGUUCGGAAUAGCUCCUGGAAACGGGUGGUAAUGCCGAAUGUGCNCUUCGGGGGAAAGAUUUAUCGCCUUUAGAGCGGCCCGCGUCUGAUUAGCUAGUUGGUGAGGUAACGGCUCACCAAGGCGACGAUCAGUAGCU
RNAcentral lists this ribosomal RNA (245 nucleotides) under uncultured bacterium. RNAcentral's name for it is "partial 16S ribosomal RNA". It matches the Rfam family "Bacterial small subunit ribosomal RNA", at positions 15 to 288 of the family's 1533-position model. The record is from RNAcentral.